This is an RNA transcript of Zingiber officinale, 961 nucleotides long. It is a transcript of the gene named ESCRT-related protein CHMP1B-like, with no coding region annotated. The record is from RefSeq and is a predicted model, not a curated record. Lineage: Eukaryota; Viridiplantae; Streptophyta; Magnoliopsida; Zingiberales; Zingiberaceae. The transcript is spliced from 3 exons.
UUCCCAUUUUAUAAAAAAGGAAAAAAAAACACUUUUUCAACCCUCAACGUUGACGGAACCCUAACCUCGAUCUCGUUCCUCCUCCGUCGACGCCGAGGCCAUGGGGAGUUCAGGGAAGCUGAUGAACCAGAUCAUGGAGCUCAAGUUCACGUCCAAGAGCCUGCAGCGGCAGUCGCGCAAGUGCGAAAAAGAGGAGAAGUCGGAGAAGCUCAAGGUGAAGAAGGCGAUCGAGAAGGGAAACAUGGACGGAGCCCGGAUUUACGCUGAGAACGCCAUCCGGAAGCGGAACGAGCAGAUGAACUAUCUCCGCCUCGCCUCUCGCCUCGACGCCGUCGUCGCCCGCCUCGAUACCCAGGCCAAGAUGCAGGUGAUCGGGAAGUCCAUGGGUUCCAUCGUCAAGUCCCUUGAGUCUUCUCUCGCCUCCGGAAACCUGCAGAAGAUGUCUGAGACGAUGGAUCAAUUCGAGCGCCAGUUUGUCAACAUGGAGGUCCAGGCGGAGUUCAUGGAAGGCGCCAUGGCCGGAUCCACCAGCCUCUCCACGCCGGAGGGCGAAGUUAAUAGCCUGAUGCAGCAAGUUGCUGAUGAUUAUGGUCUUGAGGUUUCAGUUGGGCUGCCACAGGCUGCGGCGCAUGCCAUUCCGGCGAAGGAAACUGAGAAGGUAAACGAGGAUGAUCUCUCCAGACGCCUCGCAGACCUCAAGGCGAGGGGCUAAAGAUUCUUCUCCAAACCAAGAAAAAGAGGUAUCCUUGUUCAUAGUUAUAAAUCCCUAUUUUGCUCUGAUACUACACGGUGAAGACUCAAUAAUUUGCAAUAUGCUGGUGAACUACUUGUAAUAAGCUUAUUCGUAAAUAUCGUUGCGCUGUGAUAUAACUUGAUUACUAUCCAAACUCGAAGAUUUGUAAUAUAUUUCAUGAUUGUGUGAGCUUCAUUUACUUGCAGCAAAAUUUGUGUUGUUUGACCA